AACGAACGCUGGCGGCAGGCUUAACACAUGCAAGUCGAACGCGUGCAGCAAUGCACGAGUGGCGCACGGGUGAGUAACGAGUGGAUAUCUGCCUUUUGGUUCGGAAUAACCCCGGGAAACUGGGGCUAAUACCGGAUGGUUCCUACGGGAUAAAGAUUUAUCGCCAAAAGAUGAGUCCGCGUCUGAUUAGCUAGUUGGUGAGGUAAUGGCUCACCAAGGCGACGAUCGGUAGCUGGUCUGAGAGGACGAUCAGCCACACUGGGACUGAGACACGGCCCAGACUCCUACGGGAGGCAGCAGUGGGGAAUAUUGGACAAUGGGGGCAACCCUGAUCCAGCCAUGCCGCGUGAGUGAUGAAGGCCUUCGGGUUGUAAAGCUCUUUUGGCGGGGACGAUGAUGACGGUACCCGCAGAAUAAGCCCCGGCUAACUUCGUG
RNAcentral lists this ribosomal RNA (435 nucleotides) under uncultured bacterium. RNAcentral describes it as "partial 16S ribosomal RNA". It matches the Rfam family "Bacterial small subunit ribosomal RNA", at positions 29 to 507 of the family's 1533-position model. The record is from RNAcentral.